GGUCUUUUAUUUUGUUUCUUUUUGGAUCAAAAAUGAUGCUGUUUUGCUCCCUCCCUCUCUCUCUUUAUCUCUUUGUUGCAUAAGUUCUACGUUUUUAUGUUAUUUGUUUAUUUUUGUAGAUCGAGACUUGGAUUAUCUGUUUGGCCGAUGUUGGUUUUGUUUAUUUAUUUUCGUGUCAGUCAAAUCACUUGAUUGUUAUUGUGCGAGUCGGGGAUGGUUAGAAUUAUGUUCUGAUGCUGUAGUGGAGUUAUAUUUGCGGUCUAAAUGAAUGGGUUAUGCCAUUUGGUUCUGGGAAGGGGGUUAUAGUCUUAUAGAGAUUACUGGAAUAUUUAUUUAGGCAGCAUCUAUGUUUCUAUGUUUGGGAGGGUAUUUGAAAGAGUGCGAGGCGUGAAAUUUUUGUCUGUCCUGUUAUUUUAUUGUCUGUGUAGACUGUGACCGUGUGAUUGUUUGAGUUCGAUGAUAACCUUCUUCUCUCUCUCUCUCUCAUCCUCUUUCUCUCUAUCAAGUGGGAAGUACUGCCACAAUUUUAUCUGGUGUACGAUGAAAUGAAAAGUGGUUUUCCAUUGUUUUUGUGUUUUUAAUGCUAAUAUAAACAGACCCCAAAUAGUUGGGAAAAGGCUGGAUAGGCAUCGCUAUGUUGUUAAUGCAGGAUCAUGAUGUUGAUGCAAUGUAUUGCAUCUCAAUCUUAGAAAGAAGAAAUUAGUGCACAUGGAUGGACAUAAGACAAGAAUGUGGUAUUUGUUGCCUAGCUAUCACAUUGGCAUUCUAAAUAAUUCAAUAAAAUUUAUAAGAAUAGAAUUUGUUGAAAAAGUACCUUUAUUGUGUCUUCGACCUUUUAUUCAACUGGAUUAAGUAAUCUUAGUCAUGACUCUUAUAGGAAUCUGUUUCUUUGGCCAGUCCUCCUGAGAGUACAAAGCAAAUAUCAAAAUGAUACUGUCAGGUAGAUCUUUAAUUUGUCAAAUCAUCUACACAUGGAGUAUGUGCAUUCUACAUUCCUCCUUGAUUUUACUGUCAAUUUGAAACAGGAUUUUAGGUAUUCAUUAUGUUGUGAUUAUUCUGACCAAAUGGAGACAGCUCGACCUUAGCACAUUGUUUUUAAUUAGCACUUUUUUUAAUCUCGUUGAACCUAUGGAAAUAAUCACCUUCCUAUUUAAUUUGGAAUUUCUCUAUAUAAAACUAUACAAGCUUUCAUGGUCCUUUAAAUAACAAUUACUUUUUUUAAUAAUUUCAUUAAGUUUUAUUUUGGUGGAAUAUAUGGGCAUUACUCUAAAGUUGCACAAAAUUUAAGAAAGUACGUGUAGUAUUCAUUAAUUAUGCUCAAUCAUUUGGCAAGAGUCACUAGUUAGAGCGAGAGGUAACAUUACCAAAGCCUUUGCUGUAUCUAGAGUAUUGUCAAAACAUAAAAUGUCCAAAUUAUAACUUAAUAAUGUAAUGAAAUUAUGAAAAACCACCAUAUCACCUGUCAAUGUGCACAUUGCAUGCUUGCUGAUAUGGGGUUUUUAUAUAUUUCUUUUAAAUUAUCUUUGCCCCUUCUUUCAAUUUGGACAUUUAAAGCUUUUCUUCAAGCUACAGUUUAUAAUUUAUAUCCAUUUCCUUCAUUAGCCCAACCCCUUAGCACUCUAGGAUGGAGCUGCUCAAUUGUUACCAGUUGAUGAGAACCAAAGAACAUACAGGUCCCUUCUUCUUGAUGAGCAUCUCAAGAGAAACCUGUAGGAUGAACCACUAAUCUUGUACUUUUUGUUCAUUUGCCUUCAAACUUUUCUGAGACAAUAUUAAUCAUCUCCAGUCACCAUCUGCAAUAAAAAUGGGCUGCACUGAUCUUCGGAUCAACAUCUUUGGGUGCAUAUAGAGCACCUUGCAGAACAUCAUCAUGGCUCUGUGGAUUUAUCCUGGUCUCUGAUUUACUUAUCAUGAUAAGGUAAAAUAUAGAGAAAUAUGGCAAUUUUUGUGUAUGUUUGAUUAGAAUCAUAGAAUUUGAUUAACAAGUGACAGAAUCUAAUAAGAGGUCAUGAUUGUGGGCCCGAUUCAUAUAUUAUACAGAAUUUAAAUGGCUGUCAUGAUAAGAACAUGAAAAAUGUAAUGAUAGGGGAUCUUUUAUGUUUUAGGGCUUAAAAUUGGGUAGAGAUUUUCGCAAUGUCCAAAGCACAAGAGAUGACCUGAUAUUUUGCUUUGGAAAUGUGGAUGUUUUGUUCUCAUAGCUUGCCAUUAAUGCCAAAGGUGUUGAGAACAUCGUCAUUCUAAGACAGAAGAUGUAAUUCGGGGAACCGGAUCCAAGUCAAAUCGAGAGUGGCCAACGACGGUUCCUCUUUGCUAUUGACUCAGGUCUGUUGGGCUAAGGGGAGACUGAACUGCCAUCAGAAGAUGGUAAGCUUAAGUGCUUAAAUAGUGUGUAUUUUCAAUCGUAACCAGCCCUUACCGCGAUCAGCCUUUACUCUCUCGAAAGGGCUCGUGGAAUAGAAAGAGUUCGUUGCAUCAACAGGAAUCGCUUUGGUGACGCACGGUCUUGCCCGGAACUGUAUCCCCCCGAUUCCUUCCCUUCUUGAAGAAAUGGAAAAUAGCUCAAGUGGGCUGGGGACCAGCCCCGCUAGAUCCAGAGCAUCCGUAUAGGCUUCACCUUGUACUUUAGAGAAUAUCCGCCUUUCAAGCUGUUUUUAGGAGUUUCAGUAGUUGGAAAGAUAUAGUCAAAUCUCAGAGUUAGACUUGUUUUGUGCGAACGGUUAGGCAACACUACGGCGCCUGGGUCAAAAUCCCGUUUACCAAACAAGAUGUCGAGAGGCGAACUCUUCCAUUCCCCUCCAGGGGUAAAUAAGGGGGAAGAGGAGUUGUCACGAUAGAAAAGAGAAAUGACUAUAAGGAACCAACGAUUCUCUCUUCUUAAACAACCGAUAUCCUCCACAUUUUCCUUCCCUUGGUUACUCCCCCUGCCUACCCCCUUUUUUUAAACCAAAUUUUUUGAGUGCAGUAUGAAACAUACUGGUAUUUGAGUCAAGCAUUGGUGACAUCUUCAAGUAAUGAUGGUCUCAGAACAUAAGAUGUCGAACUCAAGAUAGACAAAUUUGUGGGAUAUUUAGAAGAACUUCGAUUGUUAUAUCUUUUGACUCAAAAGAAGUUGCGUGAGGCACUAAAUAUUCUGUCUCAAAAAGUUAUUUUACAUGCUGCAGGUCGAUUACUUGGGAAUACUUAAUAAUUGGUGAGUAUUAACUUGUUCUACGUUCUCAAUUCAAAUAUAUGGAGGAUAUUCCUUGUCUUGCACUUGCAUCUUUUAACAUCAGGAGCUUAGGAAUUGAAACCAAGGGAAUAUUAACAUCUACAGCUGAGGACUCAGAAUAGAUCAUGUAAAAUUUCUUUUCCCUUUGAUGAAGUUUUGGAGAUAUCAAAAGAACAUAGCUUGAAAAGGAACCUCGUUAGUCAUGAAUUUGAUCUAGAGAAAAUCAUAAAAUAUUCUACAAACUCUAGUAAUGCAUACAGCUAUGCUGAAUAUAAAAGCCAGAUUCCAGUUGACAAGAUAAAUGUGACUCACAAAUAUAUACUCAAGGAGCAACAAAUUAUCAAUUGAAACUUAUAGCAUUCAUGCCUUGAAAAGGCUUAAAGAUUGCUUGAAAAAUCUUGGAAUAUGUAUCCAAGAUGUAUCUUCAGGGAAUCAGAUGUUUUAAGUAAUAUAUAGUUGCAUAAUAGAUGAGGUGUUGUUGUGAAUGUGUGUUUCUAAUCUGCAGAACAGUUUUACUAUAGCAGGCAAAUAUUGAUAUUAUUUGUAGUGAAAAGAUUCAAAUAUCUUGAUAGAGACCUGUGUGCCUUGUCUGAGUGGACUAUUCUUUGCAUCUAGUUGCAGUCUAUUUUGCAAUGCCUACAUGUGUGACAAUGGCCUCAUGUUGAUAGGCUUUAAAUUUUCAGGUCCUUUUCUUCUAAAAUUAUCAGAAAUCUUCAGUCAGAAAUUUCCAAGAAUUUUUUUUUUUUUGGUGGGGAGGACAUGGAGCUUAGUUUUAUGGCCAGAUGAUAUACCAAUCAAUAUAUGGAAAAUCGCGAGAAAACAUUAGAUUAAAAUGGGUCACAAGCUUACCCAACAAUGUCCUGAAAAAUAAGAAAUAUUUAUUUAUAGUUAACAGGAGCAAUACAUAGUAUUACAUGAAUUUUUACGGACUCUUUUGAGGUUAUAGGAGCAUGCGUGCAACAGAAAAAUAAGAAAGUAAGAAAGGCGAUGUGAACUUGAUAUAACCAGAUUGUUUUAUGCUAAUAAGGAUGGGAAGGAUAAUGAUGGUAUCAAUUCUCUUGCUUAUGCAAUGAAAUAUUAUGAAAAGAGGGAAUCUAUGCAUGACUUUUUUGACUUGGGGGAAUGCAUAUCAUAGAGUACAAUGAGAUGUCAUCUGGCAGGCAUCAAGUUAGAAUGCUUUGCUCAAUUAAUACAUCACAAUUUUUGAGGACAUAUGCCUGAUAGGCAAAUGGGAUAUAUUCAAAUUUCUUAUGGUUGGGUAUUUGAAUUUCUUUUGGCAUUGGGCCUGUGCAAGUUUGAGUACUUGUCUUUACACAUGUCAUAAAUGAACCAGUCAAGAGGAGAUAUCAUGAUAUGUUAUGGUGUCAGUUGUAAGAGAAGGUCAGGAUUAAAUGCUAAACCAGAAGAAACUCGCAGACUGAUCAUUGAAGAAUUUCAUGAUAGUAUGUUUUUUCUUUUUUUAAUUGAUAAUUCAAAUAUUUCUCCUUUUCUUUCCAGGAAGGAUGCUCCUCAUUGCAGCUUCUUCCACCAGUUGUGAAAAAAAUAUUGCAGGAUGUGACAGCAAUAUAUUAAUAAAUCAAUGUUGCAGCUGUCUGUUAUGGACUGAGAAUUGCAAGAGGAAGAGAUUAGGAACAUGUUACUUUGCCAUAUUAAUGACUUCAUGGUACUAAAUGUGUUGCUUGGCCAUAUUAAUGAUUUUGUGGUACUAAAUUUGCUGGACCUUAAGUAAAUGAAAGAAAUAUAUAUCAUUUUAAACUUUUGAAUCUGUGUUCCUAUGCCGAGGAGAAAUGCUUGUUAAUUGUAAAUUUGUUACUUAUUUGUGUUCCAUAUUGAUCUCCUAAUGCAGAUAGAGGGAGAGGAGGCCCUCCGUAUGUCUAAACGCCGUCUUGAACGUGAAAGGGGGCGCAGAGAUGCAACUGCUGAUAUGUCCGAAGACCUGUCUGAAGGAGAAAAAGGAGAGAUAGUCAGCGAUCUAUCCACUCAUGGUGAUAGCACAAGAGGCAGAUUGCCCAGGAUUAGUUCUGUUGAUGCUAUGGAGGCUUGGUCUAAUCAGCUUAAAGAUAAAAAACUUUACAUAGUAUUGAUAAGGCAUGAAACUUAAAGAAGUUAUAACAGUUAAAUGUUUUUGUUAUAGUGGUCUACCCAAGUUAUUAUUAUCUUGUAAUUUGCAUGUUCAUGCUAUGCACGUCUAAACCAUAUUGGUUGCAAAAAUGGCACGGAUUAGUUUUGGACACAUAGCAUUUCUAGCAUACUUGGAUUAUAACCUUCAAGUGGCAGGUGGCAAAAUUUCUUCAAUGUAGAUAACAUUAGAAAAUAUUAGAAUGUUAUAUUGGUUUCUUUAAACUCUGCAAACAUUUUUUUCACAUCAAUUUUUGGAGAUUUUUUUUUUGAAAAGUAAUCUUUGUUUUUUCCUAUUUUAUUGACCCCUAUUUUGUGCUUACCAUUUGAUGGAUGCUAGAAGCAGGUGUCAGAAAUUAAUGCUUGAGAAGAAGAGGGUACUGUGGAAGUUGGAGGGUCAGAUUGAAUAGUUCUCAGAGUAGAAUUUCUUUAUUUAAACAAUGAGGGAAACAGUAACUUAGAGGUUUUUAUGAACUAUCUAGAUAAUAGUUUUUUUUUUUUUGUAUAGAGGUUUUUAGCCUAAUAUCAGAUGGGAUGGGGUCAACAAUCAACAAAAAGUGAGGACUAUGUAAAAAAGGGGAAUUCAGUGCGCAAGGCUCGUGCCAUUGCAUGGUCUGUGAGGGUUAGAUGGUCAAAUGUACAUAGCCUUACCCUAGCAUGCAGAGAGGUUGUUUCUGUAUUUCAAAUCCAUGACCACAAGGUCACAACGGAGCAACCUUCCCGUUGCGCCAAGGUUCACCCUCAAAGUGACGAGUAUGUGUGAUAUACAAAUUUUAAGUACUUUAUAAUUAGUUUUGAUGUGAUAUCUUUAAAUUCUUUAGCUAGAUUCUUGAUUCUGUAGGUAAAUGCUUGAAUGUGUAUAUGCUUAUGCGUAUGCACAGACUAAUAACAAGGUAUUACUGGAUAGUUGAUACUAUCAGAAGAAAGGGCAAUCUCCUCCUCUUAUUUUUCUACAUAUUUAACCAUAGGUCCAGCAGUUAAACCUUGAAAGUUUUGAGAAAAUAUUGGAGUAGAACUAUCAAUUCUUUUUUGAUAAUAAUAGUGCACUAACAAUAAUGAUGACACCUUCAUCUUCAUCAUCAUUACAAAAAUUAUUAGAUGUGUAAUCUGUGUUUCAUCCUAUGGCCUCAAGGUUGUAAAUAUUGUCAAACAACUGAAACUUGUGAUGGAUAGUAAAGAAAAACAGUUAAUAUCUUUGUGGCCUGGUGUGGAUUCUUCAUUAUGUAUUCUUAUUUCUGACAGAUAUGUUUCACUUUAUGCAGCAUUCAUGGUCUGAUACGCGGUGAAAAUAUGGAGCUUGGUCGUGAUUCUGAUACUGGGGGUCAGGUAGCUCUGUCAUGAUGUUUACUUUGAAAUCCAUCAUGAUUUUCCUUCUGAUAUCCAUUACAUAAAAAUUUUUUAUGAUCUCUCCCAUUUUAGAUAGGAAAAUCUGUUGAUACUGUUUCUUUUUCUGUGGUAUUUAAAAUUUAGAGGGUGCUCUAAACUUAUGAAUGGCCUGAUCUCUGUUGUACUAUGUUAGGUCAAGUAUGUUGUAGAACUUGCAAGGGCUUUAGGCUCGAUGCCUGGAGUUUAUCGGGUUGAUUUGCUGACCAGGCAAAUAUCUGCACCAGAUGUUGAUUGGAGUUAUGGAGAACCAACAGAUAUGCUGACUCUAAGAAACGCUGAAAAUUUUAUGCAUGAGAUGGGAGAGAGCAGUGGUGCUUAUAUUGUCCGCAUUCCAUUUGGGCCAAAAGAUAAAUAUAUCCCUAAAGAACUUCUUUGGCCACAUAUUCAAGAAUUUGUUGAUGGUGCACUCGUCCACAUUAUGCAGAUGUCCAAAGUUCUAGGAGAACAAAUUGGUGGUGGGCAGCCAGUAUGGCCUGUUGCUAUCCACGGACAUUAUGCUGAUGCGGGUGACUCUGCUGCUCUAUUAUCUGGGGCAUUAAAUGUCCCUAUGCUAUUCACUGGUCACUCGCUUGGGAGAGAUAAGUUAGAACAACUUCUGAAACAAGGGCGACAAACAAGAGAAGAAAUUAACAUGAUAUACAAAAUAAUGCGUAGAAUUGAGGCUGAGGAAUUAGCUCUUGAUGCCUCUGAGAUUGUUAUCACAAGCACUAGACAAGAGAUAGAACAGCAAUGGCAAUUGUAUGAUGGUUUUGAUGCGAUUCUUGAGCGAAAACUCCGAGCUAGAAUUAAGCGAGGUGUGAGUUGUUAUGGCCGUUUUAUGCCUCGUAUGGUUGUAAGUAUAUUGCAUCUCUUAUUUCCUCUUCCUUUUAGAAGUUUUUUAAAUGUAUUUAUUUGGGAGGUUGCACUUAUGCAUUUGAUUAAACUGUUAUACUGGAGGUCAUUUGCUGUUCGGUUCCAGAAAAUAAUAUAUUUGCUCUAUUUUGCAGAUAAUUCCUCCUGGAAUGGAGUUCAAUCAUGUUGUACAUGAUGGUGAUAUGGAUGGCGAAGUUGAAGGAAGUGAGGAUAAUUCAUCAUCUCCGGAUCCACCUAUUUGGUCUGAGGUCCAGAAAUUUACUUCAGGCUCCUUGUUCAAGGAGUUAUUAUAAUGCAACUUCUUUUUAUCAUAACUAUGACAAAAAUAUUGAUCUCUUAGUUAACGUAUUUAAGAACCCCCCUCCACCCCCAACAAAAAAAAUCCAAUUUACUGGGAUUUGCUGGUGUUUGCUACUAUUCACAGCUUGGUGUUAUUUAAUUUUGGCAGAUAAUGCGGUUCUUUACCAACCCUCGCAAACCUAUGAUCCUUGCUCUUGCUCGACCAGACCCCAAGAAGAACAUCACAACACUCGUGAAGGCAUUUGGUGAAUGCCGCCCUUUGAGGGAGCUUGCAAACCUUGUAUGUGGAAGCUAAUGCUCUUAGUAUAGCUAUUUUUUUAGUGUUGUAUAAUUACCCUCAUUCUGUGAGUUUAUCUACUGUGAUCAUUUGUUCAUAGAAGUUGCAAAUAAUUUCACAAUUUGAUUUUUAGUUGCUUUCUGAUGUUUCUGUAAAUUCAUAUGUUGCAGACGUUGAUAAUGGGUAAUCGUGAGGCUAUUGAUGAAAUGUCAAGCACAAAUGCAGCUCUUCUGACUUCAGUACUCAAAUUAAUUGACAAGUAUGAUCUAUAUGGACAAGUGGCAUAUCCUAAGCACCACAAGCAAUCUGACGUUCCUGACAUUUAUCGUUUGGCAGCAAAGACAAAGGUAUGCUUUUAAUGUUAGUCAAUGAUCAAAAUUUGGCGGUCUUUUAACAAGUGUGCUUCUCAUUGUGCGUGGUGAGAGCGAGAGUGAGGGGAGGGGGCUUGGGGGGGAAGAGUGUGCCUGAAUUGAUGCAGCCUGUGUCAACCCUAAUCUUUUAUGCUCAUGGGUGUUGGUCACCAAUCAAAGCAUACUGUAUGAAUGUAUGUAUGUAUUUGUUUGUGUGCAUGCAUCUAAGUUUAUUGAGAAAUACAGUAGGGUUGCCACCACAGCAUAGGAGGUGUUACUGAAAGCCUAGAAUAUUCCAUUUGAUCAAGUCUUGAAUGUUGGUAUAGGCUAUUAAUUUCCAUUUUUAUUGAGUACAAGGAGAAUAAGAAGGGAAAGAGAGGAAGAGACAGUAUCGUUGAGUAGGAGAGAGAGAGAGAGAGAGAGAGAAAAUGGAACAAGUCUGUCCUUCACUAGCAACUAGACCUCUGAUAUGGCAUUAUUUUCUAUACCAGACCUGCAAGAAAAAUACAACUAAUGGACAUGAUAAGUGUGUACCAUAUAGAAUGGUGGGUGAACAAAAAAUAUUGCACUUCUAGGUUCUUGAACUAGACCUAUUAAAUUUUGAAGACUCGUGCUCUUCAUGCUUAAACUUGUGAAGCACGAUACAGUGUGAGACUGCCCUAGUAUUGACCAAGUAUAUGCAACAUAUGAUAUUUUUCUUUUGUGAGAAGAGUUCAGUGUUAAUUUUUUAUACUAUAUUUGUUAAGUUUUGUUAAGAUAUAGACUUAAAUCACUCCUUAUUUUUCUUGUUUUCUUCUUUGGAAUUAUGCAGUAUAUUUCCAUAUGUAACUUAGUUUUAGAUAAUGCAAUACUCCUUUCCUUAUAGCUGCUCUAGAAGUCCUUGUCGAUAACUGAUUUAUUGUUGCCUUAAUCCACUUAAGAGUCUUGCUGCAUGUCUUGAUGGUCAAGCAAAUGGCAUAGUAUGCAGAUGUAUUGCUAUUAAUAAGCAAACAUGUUGUCUCAAGGUUUCAAAUAUCGGUACAGGACCUCGUACUAGUUUUUACGGGAAUGGUAUGGUACCAGGUACCGACACACAGCAUGGGACUGUGUCCCAUAUCGACUUAUCUGUGUACUGGUACCUGAAACUUGGUGGAAUGGUAUGGUACUGUUCAUACCCCCUUAUUCCGGCAGUAUUUGAAACCUUGUGUUGUAUCUUUGUGACAGAGUUGUAGAUUGUUGUUUCAAAAGGUAACAAUGUUCGGGAUAUCAUGCAAUAUGGAAGAAGAAAACAAUGAAAUGGUGAAAACUUUUAUAUCCAUAUAGUUCAAAAAACUAGCAAGCUUGCAAUCUUAUUGUAAUGGUGUUUAAUUAAGUUGAAGCUGAGUAUGAGUUACACUUUAACGUUACUCUGAUAGCUUAGAUAAAACGUAAUCUUUACCUUGAACCAACUGGUGUCUGGUUGAGAAUAGUAGCAUCCUGGUUCCAUUUGACUCACACGUCAAAAAUAAUGCAAGUCCUUUAGAAAAUAACUACGCUCUAGUAUGUUCCGCCCUUUCUAGGUGAGCAUCUGCUCUUUUCAUUAUUAAGUUGUAAUAAUAACUGCACUGCACACAGUAUAGUUUCAUUGACCUGACAGAUUUUGUUUUCUGCAGGGCGUUUUUAUCAAUCCUGCUUUCAUUGAACCAUUUGGCCUCACCUUGAUAGAGGUUACAAUUUGAUUUCUUCUAUUAUUCUAAUAUAUAUGUAUGUAUAAACGAAUUUUGCUUAUCAGCAUAUCUACAUUCUUUAUUGGAGCAGGCUGCAGCUUAUGGUCUUCCUAUUGUGGCUACAAAAAAUGGAGGUCCUGUUGAUAUACAUCGGGUUGGUCCAUCAUGUGUUUCCUAACCCUCCAGUAGAAAGUUUUAGCAUCUGUUGUGUUAUGGUUGAUGAAGUAUCAUUUAUUGUUUUUUCCCUAAGCGUUUAACUGAAUUUUGCUUCAGGUUCUCGACAAUGGUCUCCUUGUUGAUCCCCAUGAUCAGCAAGCCAUUGCUGAUGCACUUUAUAAGCUUGUAUCUGAUAAACAGCUUUGGGCACGAUGUCGACAGAAUGGAUUGAAAAAUAUUCACCUAUUUUCUUGGCCAGAGCAUUGCAAGACCUACUUAUCACGGUUAGCUACCUGCAGGCCAAGACAUCCUCAAUGGAAAAGGAGUGAAGAUGGUAUUGAAGAAUCAGAAUCAGACUCACCAGGUGAUUCUUUGAGGGAUAUUCAAGAUAUAUCUUUGAACUUAAAACUUUCAUUAGAUGGUGAAAAGGCUGAAGAUAGUGGCACACUAGAUAGUAUCUUGGAAUCUGAAGAGAGUGCUGUUAAUGAAAAGAGUAGAGUGGAACGUAUUGUAUCACAACUGUCAAAGAGUGUUAUAAGAGCCACACAAAAGGAUGCAUCCAGCGAAAACUCUAGUAAGCUACCAAUAUUGAGGAGAAGAAAACAUAUUUUUGUCAUUGCUGCGGAUUCUGUUAGCAAUGCAGAUCUUGUUGGGAUUAUUAAGAGUAUAUUUGAGGCUGCACAUAAGGACAGGACAUCAGGUUCUUUUGGCUUCAUAUUAUCAACUUCGUUGACAAUAUCCGAAAUACACUCUAUUCUCAUCUCUGGAGGCAUCCCUGCUACUGAUUUUGAUGCUUUUAUAUGCAAUAGUGGCAGUGAUCUUUAUUACCCAUCACCAAAUUCUGAUGAAAUGCUUAGCUCUUCCGAGCUUCCUUUUGCAAUUGAUGAAGAUUACCAUUCACAGAUCGAGUAUCGCUGGGGUGGAGAAGGGCUGAGAAAGACUUUAGUUCGUUGGGCUGCUUCAGUUGUUGAGAAAAAGGGAGAAGGUGAGGAACAAAUUGUCAUUGAAGAUGAACAACGCUCAUCUACCUUUUGUCAUGCAUUUAAAGUGAAGAACCCAGCACUGGUAAAUCUCUUGUUUGCAUACUGAAGUCCUUUCUUUUAAAGAAAAAUGAUACAUAUUUCUAGCAGCAUUAAGUUGUAUUGUUAUAAUUUAAAGCAUAUGAAGCUGUUCUUUUUUUUUUCACAGGUUCCUCCUGUAAAGGAGCUUAGGAAGAUGAUGAGAAUCCAGGCGCUCCGUUGUCAUGUCCUUUAUAGCCAUGAUGGUACCAAGCUGCAUGUCAUUCCUGUUUUGGCUUCUAGAUCUCAGGCACUAAGGUAUCAAUGAAAUUUUAGCAGCAUCAUUCUUGUAUCUUUUUGUGAAUUUUCUAUUGAAUGAAAUAUCUUUAUUUGUUUUUCUGGAAAACGCUAUGUUCUUUAUUUAAACUUUAAAGAAUCUUAUGUGUUGAUGUCUCAUAAAAUAAAUUUUUGGAUGGUGUGGAUUCUCUUGACCUAGACUCUUUGUUAUAUUAUGCUGAUGCAGUCAUUAAUUUAUGAUGGCAAAAUACAACUUAUUGCUCAGUCUCGGUUCAUUGUGUCAAAGGGGCAUUUGAGCUCGAACUAAGUUUGAUGACAGCUGUUCAAGCUUGGCUUUUUUUGUGAAUUGAAUGAGCUUGUUAAUGAGCCCACCCACAUAUUCCAUUAAUUUUUGCAAGCCGAGUCCAGGCUCAGCUUGUUCAUGAGUCAAGCUGUAAAUUAUCUUUGAACUUCGCUUGAUUCCUAAUGGAACAAGCUUGAUCAAGCCUGUUACUGUGCUGAGCCUGAGCUGUUCAUAUCAUAAGCCAUGAUAAAAGAAUAAAUUGAAGAAAAGCUUCUUCCUCUUCUUCUUCAUCCUUCUCCUUCUGGGCUCAUUUGGUGAAGGCGGGAAUGGCGGGGAACGACUGGAUCAAUAGCUAUCUGGAGGCGAUCCUGGACGCGGGGCCGGUGAUCGACGCCUCCAAGUCGUCGCUGCUGCUGAGGGAGAGGGGCAGGUUCAGCCCCACUCGCUACUUCGUCGAGGAAGUCAUCACUGGCUACGACGAGACCGAUCUCUACAAGACAUGGGUUCGGGCGGCGGCGAUGAGGAGUCCGCAGGAGAGGAACACGAGGCUGGAGAACAUGUGCUGGAGGAUUUGGAAUCUUGCCCGAAAGAAGAANNNNNNNNNNNNNNNNNNNNNNNNNNNNNNNNNNNNNNNNNAAAAUACUACAGAAAACAUCAUUUAUGCGAAUGAAUUUUUGUGUGCAUCAUUGCUAGUUGUGCCCAUAGUUUCUAGAGCGAGUAGCAUGCGAGAAAUUUAUUAACAAGAGAGCCUAGGGACAAAAACAGGACUUCUGAAUUACAUAUUUAUUGCAAUUUUACUAGUGCUUUAUUUCUACACAAGAUGAAUGGAGUGCAUACAGAUCCAUCUUUCACAUGACUGCAUAGGACUACUAAUAAGCUGCUGAUCUUUGGUUUAACAGUUCUAUAGAUUCUGUUGGUCAGUACUCAGAUGAUGACUUUGGCUUGUUUAUAGCUUAUAUCAGUUUUCUUUGUCCAUAUUCUCUGCUCCACACAUUUCUCUCUGGCACAACUAACUUUACCAGGUACUUUUGAAUUUAUUUGCAAGAUUACUUUUUUUUUUCAGGUAUUUAUAUGUUCGGUGGGGUGCGGAGCUGUCGAAUAUGGUGGUCUUUGUUGGUGAGAGUGGUGACACAGAUUAUGAAGGAUUACUUAGAGGUGUACACAAAACCAUUAUACUGAAAGGUGCAUUUAACCUUGCUCCAAGCCAGCUUCAUGCAGCUAGAAGCUAUCCUCUACAAGAUGUCGUAGAGUUUGACAGCCCUACUGUUGUUCAGUGUGAGGGCUGCAGCACCAAUGGCAUACAGUUAGCUCUGAGCCAGCUUGGACUCCUGAAAGAAUAGCACGGAGCACUCUUACCAUGACAUUGCGGAGCAAAGAACUUCAUCUGAUUCAGUAAGUUGCAGAAUUGUUUCUUUUUUCUGCUUGUUGUCUUUAGAGCUGGCAUUACAUAAAAUUCAGUGACCGCCCAAACUUAGAUCCUUUGUUCUUGAAAUUUUAUUCAAUGCUACUGUAGAUAUCCAUUNNNNNNNNNNNNNNNNNNNNNNNNNNNNNNNNNNNNNNNNNNNNNNNNNNNNNNNNNNNNNNUGUUUCACCCGACAUGACCUUUCUGGCUCAUGUAUUGCUACCUUUAAUGAUCUUGCUUUCGCUUUGUAGCUGCCUUCUUAGCAAAGAUCAGAAGGCACCUCAUGCUUCUUGUUGAUACUUGGUAAAUCUAAGUGUUAAAUUCCUGUUUGCAACCAGGCUCAAGAGAAGUAGCCAAAAUGCCAAGAAUGUUUCUGCGUUGUUGCGUGAAAUGUAUUUUCAGCUGGGAGUUUAAGAGAGCAUUUCCUUUCAUCUCCGGUCAAAAUACAAGAGCCUGAUGACAUUAUGUAGGAACUGUGGCAGAAAGCAAACGGUCUGCUUGUGAGCCUGUUAUGUAACUGAAGUUGACAUUAUCAAGCCAUACCAUUUAUAUACAGGCAUCAUUAUAAUGGAAAGCUUUUCUCUAAAUCUGUUCUAUAAUAAUACAGUAGUUGUACUGCUUCUACUUGUACAGUAAAUGAUUUCAUUUAGUCCUUGCCAGAUCCAAUUUAAUAGUAUUAUGACUGGUGAAGCUUUUUGAAUUUUUGGUUGUUAGGCUUUAUGUCAUCAGCAACUUUAUGAUAUUAGCGAAUGCAAUACUUUAAUGAGCAUGAAUGCUGCUUAGCUUUAGGCUCAUCAAAACUUAAGUUGUGUAGGAACUAUGAUAUCCAAAGAAAAUUAAGUGUUUGUGGCUAAUGGUGGAUCCAAGUUUGGCUUGAUUGCUGACCAGUGGGUUGACCUAUCUUCUUUUUUUUAUCUUUUAGGAGUAACAACCUUGAGGUUCCUCUUCGCUGGCAGGAGUCAAUAUGAACCAAGUGACCACAAUGUUUGAAGUAUGGAGUUGUUUUUUUUUUAAAUGCAUGAAUUAGAAACCAAAAGGUCAAAUCAAUCUAUAAUAUUCAACAUCAAACUUGAAAGUCAUGUGUGAACCUGUGCUGAUCGGAGAAGUGAAAGAAUGAAGGAUCCAAAAGGCUCUUGAAAUGGGACACCAUGAGUGGCAUUUUAUUUGCAGCAUGCAUGAGAAUUUUAAAUACACUUGUUUUAGGUUAUGCAUUUUCUCCUAAGUUUCUAAGCGUGAAUCCUAUGAAAUAAGAUCUCUUUGUGCUGUUUCUUUUGAUAUCUUUUAAUAUGUCAUAAUCUUUACCCUUCUUGAUCCUAGUAUGCAUCUCUCCUCUUUUGAUCCUUGCAUUCUUAUAUGACCUAUAUGGAAGUUUUUCUGACUUCAUUUUGGUUCACUGCAUUUUAAUGAGGCUAUUUUUACCUUCAUUAGGGGUACUGUUUUAUCUUCAUUCUCCCUUUCUUAUCUCUCAUGUUUAGCUCAACACUUAAACGAAUCUAUAUAUGUCUUCUUCUUGGAUUCUCAAAAUCAUCCUUCAAUUUAACACUUAGUUCUAACAGUAUCUUAACAUUCUUAGCUCUUUCCUGAUCCAAAGUAAAAAAGGGGGAAAACGUAAGCAUUUUCACUUCUUUUGUCAUCCUUACAGAUGACAAGAAGUCAGUAAAUUGAAUUUAUUCUUGAAAUUACUGGUCCUAUGGUGGCAUUCAUUUUCUAAGACGGUUACUGUUUUAGGCACUCGGUUUCUGUCAAAUCUUAUUUGUUAUUCAUGGCAUCUUGUUUGUUAAGCAUAUGCCAACAAAUAUAUGUCUAGCAUGUUAAAUAUUAGUAAUAUGUCACCAGAUGGAGAGAGGCCACAUGUAUUAAGUAUCAGCUAAUUUACAAAAAGGGAGAAUGAAAUGGUAAAGUCAUAAUUUCCAACUAUGGUCUUAUUUAUCUAAGACCCAAUCAGAAGUCUAUGAAGCAAACAUAGAGCUUGCUUGUAAGUCUAAAGAUCUAUUCUUAGAGUGUAGAUAAUGUAUGCCGAAUACUAGUAAUAUAUAAUAUUAUCAGUUGUAGAGGAUUUUUGUGAAAAUUUCCUUCUCAUACAUUAUAGAAAAAAUCUUGUUAAAAGAAAUAUGAUUAUGGGAUAGCAAGACUAGUAGUCUACUAGUGGUAAAGUCUCUUAAUAAUUGUACCAUUAGACUUGUGAUAAAUCUUGUCUCAGCAGGCAGGCUGAGGACAUCAGAUAUCUUGAUUGUGUAUACGAACGUUGUAUCCUUAUUUAUGGAAACAAAACAGUAUAAUUAUUGGUGCCUUCAGCUAUAGUCCCCAAUUGUUUUUUAUCGCUUCAUGAUUUCUUUAUAGGUAAGUAUGUUUUAAACUGAUCUAAUUGGAGUGAACAGCGAGAGCUGAUGCUGGGAGGAAACUGCAACCAGCCAGGAGUAUCCGCCAACCACACAUGGACGCGUAUGGCUUCAGAAUAGUUGAAGCAAAUAUCAGCAGCAUAGAAGUAUGGUUGUAGAAAAUUCUGUUAUCUAUUUUCACUUUUUCUUCCGUUUUUCUUCCCCUACUGUGGCUUCGGGAUUAUUUGAGUAUUAAUGUUGUAGAAGUAUAUAUUCCGCAGAUGUUUGUUCAACACGUAACGUAAUCUAGAAGAAGUUACUGAAUCUAUGCUGAUCUACACUGAAAGGUAGACAUAGGAACUUUGCUGACCGGGAUAGCAAGUCAUGGAUCAUGGUCUUGAGACCCAUGGAACAAGCCGGGGGGCUAAGAUCAGAUUUNNNNNNNNNNNNNNNNNNNNNNNNNNNNNNNNNNNNNNNNNNNNNNNNNNNNNNNNNNNNNNNNNNNNNNNNNNNNNNNNNNNNNNNNNNNNNNNNNNNNNNNNNNNNNNNNNNNNNNNNNNNNNNNNNNNNNNNNNNNNNNNNNNNNNNNNNNNNNNNNNNNNNNNNNNNNNNNNNNNNNNNNNNNNNNNNNNNNNNNNNNNNNNNNNNNNNNNNNNNNNNNNNNNNNNNNNNNNNNNNNNAAACUGUGGAAAUUUUUAUCUAGUAAAAAAUGAAUAAAAAGAUCACUAUUAUUUUUCCAUUAUUAUCUGUUAUUUUGUUAUAAUACUAUUAGAACAGCCAUUAGAACAGUAAUUAUUUAAAUUAAAAAUUUGAAAUACUACCUCUUGAGAUGGAUAACGGCUAUUACAAGUUAUAACCAUUGCAGAGGCCAAUAAUGGUUUCACCUACAUUAGAAGGUUUAGGGAUAUCAGGACACGAUAUUAGUUUGUAUAACACACAGGCCUGUUGAGCCCAUCCAACGCUAUAUGCACACAAAAGAAAGGGUUCUGCCUUUGGGCAAAAUACUUUGAAGAAGUAUUGCACUGUGUCAAGUUAACAGAGGCAUGUGGACUGUACUUGAUUUACUCAAAGAUUAUCAUCUUAAAUAAGCAAAAUAAAAUUAUCAAUGAAGUUGAAGGUGCGGGUUUAUCUGUUGUCGUCACAAGUAAAGUCUUUUGGUGAUUGGACCAAAGUUUGUUUAAAUCUUAUUAAGCCAAGCUUAAUUGAGUUAGGUAUGUUUGACUUGAAACUAAAUUCAUAUCCAGAACCCAAAAUCAGGCUCGGCUAAUUUAUAUGUAUGUCGAGCUUGAUCCAAAACCCAUCUUUGUAUCAAGUUAUAUGCUAUUCGAGCUCGACCAACCCUAGAACCAAGUUGAACUCGACUUGUUCAAUACUUGUAUCAAUUGUUGGCCCUACCUUCGGCAAAAUCUGCUCUCCUGACCUUCUAUAAAGUUAUAAAUUUGUUUCUGCAUUUUCUUUUGUGCUGGUCUGCAAUUCUCGCAAAGCCUUUAGACUUACCGUAUUAUGGCCUGUUAACUUGCAUUUUAUACAUUCAAGUUGGUAUCCUUGUGAACUAAUGGGGCAUUGACAUGCAUCAACCUAAAGAUCUAUGAAAGCACAAAUCAUAAUGCACAUUAAUAAUCAUAAAGUUAUGGACCCCGCCAAAAGAAAAUUAGUGAGAUAUUUAUCCAAGUUAUUGUUGAUUUGCCAGAGGCUUAUUAUGAGUAUUGCUCAUGAAUAAAUUAAAUGCUCAGACUAUUUACGAGGUAAUCAAUUAUACAAUUGGUUGGACGCUCAAAAAUUCUCUUAAAGUUAAUAUUGAUUCUUGCUGUUAUUCAUAGCUGCUGCCUCUUGCCAUUUCUAUCAUGAUUAGUACUUUUGAGCCACUUCCAAGAUUUAUCAACAACUAUAGAUCCUAAUCGCUUUGGGAUUUUUUUAAUAGUGGUCUAUUCUCCACUUUCUUUCCAAAUUUCUGACAUUGUUUGAGUCUCAAAUCCAUCCCUUUGGCCGAUUUACUUCAGAAUUAUUAACUUGCCAAAGCAUUAACCCAUCAUGCGUUCCACAGAAGUAGCUCUAGUAAAUGAUGGAGCAUAAUUUACCAAAUCCCUAUCACGCAGCAACGAAGGGCUCCGUGCCCGGCCAACGGCCCUCCAUGCAGCCAUUUUUCUGGGACUGCAACCGCAAGCAACAUGAACUCCUGAAACUGCGGCAAUUUGGCCCUUCCAAACGUCCAAAUGACCGUAUAAGCUAUGAGGUCUUAUAAUAUUCUUGGCCUAAAGUUCAGACUCCGAUGAUUAGCCUCAAGCUUCUCUGUUCUGAACAAACCCAUAAUGCCAUGCCCUACUGCCGGCCAUAAAGCGCAAAUUUAUCAAAUAAUUACCAGCCACCAUAGUUUACCACAGAUCACAACGAUAGUAGUGAAAGAGUAUCCCUGACGCAAAUUUACGAGGAAAAACACGUUAACACAUCUCUACAAGAAACCAGCAUAGAAAGCAUUUCGAAUUGCCAUGCUCGAAGUUAAAAAAAAAAAAAUUUCUAAAUUUUCAAUUUUCACUAAAUCCUGAUAAUAGUACAUUUCAUAAUUGAGCAAUCAUGAGAAUAUGAAACAAAGUUGAUGCCGCUGCCACUUCUGUCACUCCAUGGCAGUGAAUUUCUGUUCUCACAAUCCCGUGCACCUCACCGGCCAACUUGCAUCAUCAAGAACCUACGGGUAAAAAGAAAAGGCAGGUUCCAGUGUUAAGCAUCCUAUAAAGCUGAAAACAAAAUAUCAUGAACAAAAUGCCAUAUUCUGUAAGGUAAAUUAGAGGAUGGAAUCUAGUUGCACAUGGAAUAUGCAGCCGUGUUACAAUCAGGCAUCUCACUUCUUCGCACCGUUACAAGUUCUAACUGUCUUCCAUUGUGCAGCUCACAUAUCAAAUUGUUUGCAAACAACAGAAUCCAAGAAGGCACAGAGAAAUACAAUGGAACCAGCAAAAUUAAGAAGGCCACAAGCAAGAAGUACAACGACAGCAUGUAUAAAGAUGAGUAGGCCACGAGGCUUGAUGAUCUAGAUAUGGACUGUAACAAUCUAAAAAUAAAGAAGAAAAUAAUCUACCAGAGCCAUGGAUACCAAGAAUGCCAUUUAUAGUUGCACAUCCUUACAGGAAGCAUAUUGACCAAUAAGUCUAUGCAUGAUUAAUUUGUUCCCUGUAGGAAUCCCAUAUUAGAUACUAGCUCUAUCGCUCAAUGAACGUGACCAUGGUGGCAUAAUCAAGACCCAGCAAGCAAAACAAUACAUGACAUGAAAAUAAAGCAAAAAAUGUGAAUAAUAUUCUGGAAAAUAAACAAACAAAACCACAACAACAAGCCUUGUUCAAACUAUUUAAAUCAGCAGAUUAAAAGAGGGAGAAAGACACAAAAUUAAGCACGAGAAGCUUAUGGAUACAAAGACGAAAAUUAAAUAAAAUUAGACAAAAAAUUGGAAAGUCAAGUUGCUUGCACCAUCUGUAAAUUAUUCAAAAAGACACUAUUUUUUUUUUUUUAAAUAUAGAUUGUUUCCUCUUUCAGGUUAGUGUUGGAGAAGCAUUUUGCAGGAAAAGCAUGGUAAUAACUUGUAAAACUUUUAAUCACCAAGCACCUGCUCGAAUGGUAUGAGAUUUUUCCCUUUGAGCGAGAGCUCAGGGAUUAACGGUCUCAGAAAGAAAAAAUUGCAACAUGUUUGCAUAUAUUAUAAAUUUAUACAAAGGAGCAUCGAAUUGAGGAUCAGUUAUGCACAGAGAGAAGAAUGCAAUUGAUGCAUUUGAUUUAAAAGCAACAUGCUCAAGGCAAAUUAGAAAGUAGACACAAAGGACAUUUAGUGAUUGAAAAGACAGAAGUUAAUAUUUUGAAAUCAUGCAGUUUUUUCUUUUACUUUUUAAUUCUACUUGAAGGUUUAUUAGGUGAAAACUUAAAGGAAGGGGGGAUUUUUUAACAAUGGAAAAUAUUUUCCAUACCUGCAGUCUUGUUUUUCCAGGCCCAUUCUUGUGCAGCUUGAAUCCCCUGCAGCAAAUGCCAAAGCAGAAUAUUAUUAACAUGACAAUAGCCACAAAAAGUUGAAAUGGAACGGAGGGCUAGAAUUUAAGUAAUGCCUGUUGUGCUCGGCUAGGAUCAAUAACAGAACUAGCGGCCUGUAAUUGUGAGUAAUUUAACUCCUGGAAGAAAAAAAAUGAAACAAGAGGUGAGCCCAAAACAAAUUUGCAAAACAAUGGACAAAGCUAGGUUCCUCAUAGACAACAGAAAAGACAAAAGGUUCAGUCACUAGAAGCUAAAGACAGACAUCGCGAAAGAUGCAGAAUAAAACACAAGUACACAAUUACGAUAUACAAUGGGUGUGAAGAGAGAACCGUACACCACUGCCAAAUUCAGCAAUGGAUGUUGUAAAAUGAAAAAUGUAUACUGUUUAAUAUGUUCUACUGCCUGAAAACCAAUAAACUAUAUCCUGCUAGUAAAAGUAUUAAUCUGAGAUGACUUGGUGCAGAGACGAGAGGUUUCCAAAACAUACGAUUUUUCAUUUCUAGCGUUUUAAACCAAGUAGAUCACAUCCUAUGGUUCCUUUUACAUUUUUAUUUUGCAACACCCAUCACUGAACUCAGCAGUGGAUGUAAAGUUCCCUUUACAGCCGUUUGUAUUAUCUAUGCAUGUAUGUGUAGAGAGUAGAGAGAGAGAGAGAGAGAGACUUCUCUCCUUGCAGGACUUGCUGGUCAAAGUGAUACCAUAACCAUUAAACCUUAUCUUUGAGUAAAUAUACAAACUCUACAAAGAUGUCAUUCAAUCAUUUCUUUAUAAAAACAAAAUGUUCUCUAUUCAAUCAUUACUUGCAAAUCUGAACAUGUGCAUACAUUGGAUCUUUUUAUUGUUCUAUUCACAUAUAGAAAAAGGGCAUUCUCGUGCAUGAGACUCUCGCCAUCACGGAGUCCAGGGAGGGUCAGAUAUAUGCAUCCUCACCCUCAUGUUCAAAGAGGCAAUUUCCAUGUUUCAAAGCCAUAACACUCAGGUCAUAAUUGAGCAAUCGCAUCAUUGCGCCAAGCAUCACCCUCUAAUAUCCGCAUAUAAGUCAAAAUAAUCAUUGCCUCCUAGCUUUUUCGAUUAUUUAUCUGUAGCAUGUCGUUGCGAUCAACUUUCAUAGAAAAGAUGCAAAGGUUGAUGUCAUCACUCAGUGUGACAUCUUCUUACUUUAUGUUGUCAUCAUUUACCACAAAGUAAUUGCAAAACAUUAUCUAGAUUAAUUGUGCCAAAGCGAGUUGGUAUAAACUCAAUGCCAUGCAGUGGAAAAUAGAUGAAAGAUCUUAAAAUAAUAUGGAAAUAUCAAAGAAGGCUUGCUAUAUUGCUCUCCACCUUAUAAAAGAAAAUCUUGGAAUUGAAUCAUCCUAUCAAAGGUUGUAGAUAUUGAACUAGAAGCAAGAUCAAACAACUGAUAUGUCCACUACAGCCACCAUAUGGAGCCAUAAUCUUCAAUCAUGAUUCCUGAUAAGGGCUGCCUCUCAUGCCCAAGCUUUUCAAAUUCUCUAAUGAAUUCGCCUGUGAAUGCAUGCCAUUCACACACCAAUAUUACCUUAAGGCCUUCCUCUUCUUUCUCCAGGCCCUCUGAUAAAGACCUGCAUAUUCCUUCUUACAAGGCUUCCUCAAACUGCAAAUGCCUACAGUAGUCACUUCAUCACUUUGUCCUAACUGGCGCAACUCUUCCACAUCAUCUCAUGUACUCAUCGAUUGGUCACCCUUUCUUAAAUGUACCACAUAAUAAUCUGAAUAUUUUCAUCCUUACCACAUUACCCUCUUUAUCUUUCCGACCAUAGCUUCAUUAUCAUCUCCAUCCACUGAAAUUGCAGUCGAUACUUAGUUUGCUUCUUUUAAUUGCGAAGUCCUUAUCCCCUAUAGUUCAAUCUACAGACGGAAAGCUAAAAAAACAACACAAAAGAAUUACUUUACAUCAAAUCAGUAAAUAGAAAUUACGGUAGCCAAUAGUGAAUGAGGUUUCCAUAUUUUCUAGGAUGCAAGGAAGACAUUCAACACAUAUAUGUGCAAAUAUACUUGUCUUUCCUAUUUAGUUUUUAUCCUGAAAUCUGAAGUUACCUGUGUUGAUGUGUAAACAUGUGUCAGCUGUGAUCAUUUAAUACAUGUUGCACAUGUUAGACAUGCCAACUGCAUAGUCAAGUAAUGCUAGUCGAAUGAUGCAUUACUUGAAUAUAAAUAAUAUAGCAAUUAACAUGUCAAUAUCAAUCAGUACAGAUAUCUAGGAUGAUUUGUGCUAGAUUUACUCAAACUAAUUAACAUCAAUGAAACCAAAAUGUCUAAGUUUACAAAAAACUGGAUAAACAACACAGCAUAGCAUAGCUGUUCUUGGUGAUCUUUGCACCCUCAUGCAUGCGCGCUAACUGUUGGCGCAGCAUACUUAUCAUGCCCCAAGUUUUGGUUUCUACCAAAAUAAGAUGAGUUCUGCUUUCAUAAUUUCAAUGAUUUUGUUCUAGUUUCAACAGUUUUGGCCAAAGAAUCAUAAAAAAAAGAGCAUAAAGUUAUUUUUUAAAAGAGCAAAAAAAUAAAUUAGACAUCACUUUAGAGUAUAUUGUAUUGCUUAGAACAUCAGAUCUAUCAUUUUGGUGUUUUUUUUGAAACAGUCAAAAAAAUCAUUGCAUUUUUUAGAAAUAUAUGAACAUAUAAGAAUCAUGUUUCAUGACUGAAACAGACCAUUUCAUCCUUUGAUGUCAAAAUAACACAAAGAUCUAAUUAUCUAAAUGAUCUGAGCUCUAGGAUAAAGAAACCAAUUUCAGAAAGAUUACUUUUCCAUUAAAUUUCUUAGAAGCCUAAGCUUUCAAUUAUUCUCAGAACUCAUAAAAUCCAUGUUUAUAUGGAAAAGAAAUGCUUCCCAGCAUUUAGAGAAAUAAAAAAAUAGCAAAAAAUAAAGGGGCAUAAACUGUCCAUUGUAGUUGUGGAUUCAGUUCUGGCCAAAACCAAAACAUGUUCUCAUUUCAAUUUCGGAGCAUCAGCAAAAUCGUAAAAGCACACCAUGUUAAUUCCAAGCCGACAUGGGCAUUACGUAUGAUUUAAUCUUCAGGAAAGCAGGUCAAAUUUUCUCACCUGAAACUAGACAUAGCACGGGCAGUACAGCGAAUACCUUAAUCCCUAAAGGAAGCAAGGGACAAGUGUUCAAUUGGAAGGAGCAGUCUUUUUUUUUUUUGGGAACUCAAGCCUGCCAAGACUUUUAAUAAGAUGUCAUGCAAAAUAAAUAUUCAUAUGUUUCAAUCCAUUACUGUGUUUUAAGACAAGUACUUUCAUGAAGUAAAAAUGCUAUAUUUUUCCUGAAUUUGUGAGAAAUGUUUAGUAGAUUAGAUGCAAAUAAACGUAUUAUAAGAUAUAUACGCAUCUCAAGAAUUAUAAUAUUUACAGUUUGGAGAAUCUAACACCAACACAAUUACCAGUAUCCAAGCAACUUCGAUCAUCAGAAAUUCAUAUACAUAGAAUCUUCAAACAAAGAAAACCAUUGACAUCAGUAGACUUCUCAUAUACUAAUUCCCAAUAGACACGUUAUUGCUCUAUUAAUUAGAAAUGAAUAUUUAAUAAUUAACAGGAAUCAACAAGCACAACUUAUUUCCACUUGUACUAUAUCUUUUCUUGCUCGUUUGCACCAAGUAUUGCUGUUAUAAUUGCAAUGAAAGGCCAUUUACCAAUAAUUUCCUAGCAAUCAACUAACAAAACCACUUCCUCAUCUAUUAUAUAAAUACUGCCACUUAAAAUAGCUUCAAACAAUUCCAUACUAAUGACAACUCUAAGGCAAUAAUUUGAUUCUCUUAUAAUCCAGAAUUUACCUGCAUAUUUUGAUGACCAGCUACACCAGAAGCUUGGUACUGAAAACACAAAAGAAAGAAAAAUAGUGAUGAAAAGAACUGGCUUCUGGAAAUAUAAUAAACAGACAAAAUGUACUGACCGCUAUAGAAGGGUGAAGGAGCUGCAACUGUGCCUGCUGCCUCAUCUGCAUUUGUGGCUGCACCUGUUGUGGUUGGGAAACUUGUUGGGUAGACUGAAUCUGUGUAUGUGACUGGGUAUGAGAGGAUGGCGAUUGAAGCUGCUGGACAAGUUUCUGCUGUUGCUGCUGCGACAAUAGCAACUUCUGCUGCUGCUGCUGCUGCUCAAAUAAUGAAAAUUCUUCGGGUUUCUCCCACUAAAACAGUAAAAUUAUAGUCAUUAUCAAAUUUAGAGACUUGCAGAGCAAAUUUUGUAAACCAAAAGGGAACUAAGCUAUAGAGGACUCUCACCUUACUUUCACGAGUAAUGCUAUUGUAGUAGUAUUUAAAUCCUUCAGGAGAAGUGUGCUCUGUCCAGUUGCAAGUUAAAGGAACUGCAGGUGUAGUAGAUACCGGAAGUGAAGGAGUAGCAGACCUAGAUGAAGGCAUAACUGCAGCUGGUGUGCUAGCAGGAGUGCUAGAUGUUGAUGCCAGUCCAGUCCAGGCAGACUGCAGAAUGCAUUUCAUAAAUGAUGAACCAGUUAGAUGUAAGGCAGCAAAAAUAUACAAUACGCUCUCUCUCUCUCUCUCUCUCUCUCUCUCUCNNNNNNNNNNNNNNNNNNNNCUCUCGUCUCUCUCUCUCUCUCUCUCUCUCUCUCUCUCUGUGCGCGUGUGCGUCUGCAUGUGUGUGUGUGUGUGUGAGUAUAUGCAGUACAAUGUAGGAUAGCAACACCACCACCAAUAAACAACGAUCUUCACAUUGAAAGAAAUAUAAUGCUAACCAGAAGGUAGUUAAAGCAAGAGCAAUGUUGAUUAUAGUCCAUUGAAAAAGAAAAGAAAAAACUCUCGAACACAAGCUGGAAGUUCUGGUCAUCCAGAAAUUAACUAAACUCUACCAAUCUGAACAUGCAUUACCUGUUGUUUACCCGCUGGGGAAAUUUGCUGCUGAUUUACAUUUGAUUGUUGCAUUAGCUGCAGCUGUUGUUGCAGCUGGAAAAUUGCCUGCUGUGAAGACUGAAAGCUUGAUUGUAAGGCUUGUGCCUGCUGCUGGAGCAGUAUCUGUGGCAGUUGCGAUGGCAAUUGUUGGAUAGGCUGCUGAAGCAGUUGUUGGGUAAUGCUUGAUGCAGGAAACUGCUGUUGAUUAGCAACAGCAGGCAUGGCAUGCUGUUGGAGGCUUAAAGGAUUCUGCAGUGCACUGGCAGAGGCAUUUUGCUGGACUGAAGGCUGUGAUGUGGACAACUGUGCUGCCAAACCAGGUAAUUGUUGUAAUGGUAGAUUUUGGCCAUAGGAGGUUAGGCUACCAGAUUGAGGGACCUGAAGCUGUCCGAGCUGCUGCAUUGGUGCAUGCAAAUUUUGAGUCUGCGAUUGGGAAGCAGGAGUUUGUUGAUUUUGAUGCAGUUGCAGAGAAGGUGAGAAGUUUUGAGGGGGCAUAAGUGGCUUUUGCAAUGGUGAUAUUUGCUGACCAGCAACAGGGCGAACUUGUGUCAUUGAAGGGUUGAAACCCUAUAAAACAUAAACACAAUAAUGAAAUCCAGCAUAUUGAUUUUCUGUAUCCGUUGUGUCAUCAUAAAUAUAUGGGACAGGCACAAAAACAGAAAAAGAAAAACAAAAGAAGAUCGCAGUACCUGUUGCAAUGAAGAAGAUGGUAUCCCUGAAAGAUUCGAUAAAUCUCCAUUUGUAGGACCACCAGUUACUCCCAAGGUACCAGACUAGUGUCAACCAAUACAAAUUGGACAAAAAGAUUGGACAAAAAGAAUUACUAAGACAUAAGUGUAACAUAUAAUAGGAAAAAAGAUGAUUCAUAAGAUGCUUACUGCUUCUGACGAUGUUGCCAUGACACCACCCUUGGCAGCUGACUGACUACCAGAUUCAUGUGCAUUGAAGUGAGAAGAUGGUCCCAGUGACCGUGGACUUGAUGGAUGCCAAGCAUCAGGUGGCAUGCGUCCACCUCUAGGCUCAUCAAGAUUGGCUGUGGGCCUGCAACAAAGACAUUUGGUUCAAACAUAGUUAACUAAAAAGGUGAACAGAAAAAAAGAAAUAAUUCUGUUAAAAUCAAUCUACAACAAUGUUUUAGGUCUUCAAGGUGUUUCUGAGACAAACCAGCAUGGAAAAGUUGAGUAAAAAGUAAACUCCAAUAAUUUUUUAUUGCAACAAUGUGGGUUUCCCCAAACACUUUAUUUUUGCACCAUCGAUUGGAAGUUCAAUACUGUGAAGCUACUAGAAGGAAAAAGAAAAGGAUGCUUUGAACAUUCAGCGUGAUCAGCUCAGGCAUGAGAUUGAAAAUAAGAGGAAAAACUUGUUCACACGAAAACUUUUGCAAAAUACAAAAUGAGAUAUGAGGAAAGGCAACAAGUAGAGAAAGAAAUGGCACUUCCAUCACAAAAGGAAUAAAGGAAAACUAGGGGAUCAAGCAGUGACAUAGAAAGCAGAAUUAUCUAUUAUUGUUCAACACAUUGCCUCUUCUACUAGUACUUUGCUAUAACUGUCUGAGUGGACACCUUCAAGGAGUUGGAGUGAAAUGAAUGAGAUAUUCCUCCCUCUGAGCUAUUCUUUGAGACAUCAGUGUGCACAAAAGACUUAAAAUAGGUGUAUUUACAUCGUAAAGUCACUGAUAGGAACUUUGGUGUACACCAAUGGCCUUUCUAAGAUCUAUGAAAUAUUACAACAAGCUGUAUAGAAGCAGAAUGGGACAUGUUCGGCAUCAAACCUCAUUUAUCCACAUAAAUCAAAAGUAUCGAUAGCCAGAUACUAACAUUCAUAAUGGUGCCCAACUGCUGAGGGAAUAUCAGUAUCUGUAUGGUAAUGCUGGUCUCGUACCUAGUGUCGGUAAACGGGGUGUACGACUGAACAGGGGGGGGUGUACCAACUGCAAGUUACCUACCAGUCUGGUUCUGUGUACCCUGUAUGCUGGUAUGACCUGGUAUUUAAAACCUUGAUCAUAGGUUUUUCUCACUUCUCCAUCUAUUACCAAAUUUAUUUCUACUGACCAAACGAUUUACUAGCUCAUGUCAUGUCUAAUUAAGGGUCACAGAAUCUUGUCUUACAUCUUCACCUGCAAAGAAUGGUUGCAUCGGUCCUAAAUAAGUACCUGAUUAUUAAUGCUGCAUCAGAUCGAGGACUGAAACCAGGACCCCCAAAAGCAGGGCCACCCCUACAACAGAGAGAAAUAAUAAACAAAAUUCAGAAAGAUGACAAAAUCUUCUUUAUAUGCACGAUUUCUAAAGCUGGGCCUAAGGACUAGCAAGCUUUUUACUGUAAAUAAUUACUAAAAGAAAACGAUAGGGAGAUGGACGGAAUCUAAAAAUUUAUAAGGACCUUGGUUCUGCAGGCCUGGGCCUCUUAGGAUCAGCAAAACGAACAAUUAAUGGCUGAUCACAUCCCUGAUGGCAGAGGGAGAACAAAUACAUCAUCAAAUAAGGCCCUAAGUAGAGAAAACUGAGCACUGUUUAGGAGAAAAUUUACCCUCAUCACAUAAUUUCCAUGAAGGGCAUUCAUAGCUGCUACUGCAUCCUCUCUAGAUGAGAAUUUUACAAAGCCACAUCCUUCAUACAUUAAACAAAAUACACAUCAGAAAACAUAUCACAAAAGUUACAAAUAUGUGCAAGAAAAGCUUAUGCAAGGUGUACAAGGACAUACCGCGACUCUGUUUUAAUUCAUCUUUCAUAAUGUAGACAUCUUCAACACGACCAUAUUGAGAAAAGAUCUGCCACAAAUUUAUCGGACUUCAAGAAAGGUUCAGGUAGAUAAAUAGGAUCAAGAGAUAGCACAAGUAUUAAAAAGAAUAAGUAAAAGAAUGGUUUUCCGCAUAGUUAUUUUUUGCUUACAGUAUUUGUGUUCAACAUACUUUUUGAAGCAUACGCCCAUGAGUAUAUAUACAUACAUACAUAAACAUACAUAAAUCUAUGGAUGUAUAUGUAUAUGUAUAUGUGUAUGUAUAUGUAUUGCAUAUACGUAUUUAUAUGUAUAUAUGUAUUUGUAUGUGCAUGCAUGCAUGUAUAUUUGUGUAUUUAUUUAAGUAAAAACACUAGCAACAGCACAUAAAUUUCUACUUUGAAUCUAGGAAAGAUGUUUUCAUGUCAUAAUUUUGUGGUAGCCAAAUCAAGAAUGGAGAAUGCAUAUUCAUAUACACAAUGUAUACAUGCUGCCAAAAAACUUAGUCUCCUUCAAGAAAAAGUAUAAAGAAAGCUUACUUCCUCGAUCUCCUCACUAGUGGCUUGUUUAUUAAGCGAUGCCACAAACAGUUUGCGUUCAACGGCGCCUAAGAAAUAUGCAGAAAUAAGGAUCAAAAUGCAAUUAAACCAAAAACUCCUGAGUCCGAUGUACAUGAAUGUGUGGCUCUUAUAAAUAGAAAUGAUGGUUCACAUUAGCAUACAGUGGUCAUCAAAGUGAAUAAAAAAUAGAUUACAUAUAUAAGCAAGCAAUAGGCGUGUAAUAUAAAGUUUGUAUGAAGACCUUGCUUCGGUCAAGCACAAAUCUAUCAUGAAAUAUCUCUGCAAGAUAUGUUUAAUGAUCCUAUAACAACACUGAGAUAUCUCACUGUGCAUAAUGUUAGCCUAGCAGCUUAGAUUACGCAUGGGGGCACUUCAGUAUGCCCAGUUUUGUGUUUAGAGUAACCACACUUCAUCGUAGGAACAAUGCAACAUUGUCCAACUCUUGUUUAUUUGUAGGAAAGGGAUUGAACUAUCUAGCCAUAUUUUCUUGCCUUAAGGAUAAUAAUAUCAUGUCGAGUCUUGGAAACACUUCAGUGAUGCAUGUGUAAAGUAAAUUACAAUCCUUUUUAAUCAUGAUGACCUUUAAGUGUCUCAAGGUGAAAGAGUAGAAAAGCUUAACUAGGAUCUUUAUUAAUCGUGAUAACCUUUAAUAUUUUGCAAGAUCAAAAGAGUUUAAAGGCUUGUUGAAAGUCAAAGAAAUAUUUUGAUCCUAUCACCAUUGCUAUGUUUGAAUCAUUAAUCAUAUAUUGUCCAUUACCUGUCUUAGAGUAACAAGAAUCAACUGAAGAAUGCUACUUACAGCACUUUAGGUCUUUGAAGCUUGAUAAAAUUCUGUCUUGACUUGACCCAUCAGAAAAUUAAGAAAGUUCGGGUUUUCCACCUACAGUAAUACUGAUGGCUAACAAAAAAUCAACUCAGUAGUGCUAUUUAGUAGCCUGUUUAGGUCUAGCAGCAGGAUAUAUUUGUGUUUCCCAUUUGCUUCACCACAAGUAGGCUGCAGGAAUUUAGACACUUUACCAAGCAAAAUAAAUGGUCUCACCAACCACCCCCUCUACCCUCAGGUUGCAACAUAGAUCCAUCUCCGACUANAAAGGGAAAAUAUGUAAGCAUAUGGACUGCAAAAGGAACUUGUCUACCAAAACAAUCGCUAGCAAGAUAAUCUGCCAGGUCAUUGAACUCCCACAUAUUGCAAAUUAUAUUUAUGCUGCCAAGCGAUAGCAUUGCUUGAAUCAUUUCAAGGAUAAUCUUAUUGUUAAAACAUGAAAACCAUCUACAUUGGUUAUAAAAUGUGUUUAAGCCUCAAUUUAGUGCAGCUAUUCACACCAAAGGGUCAUGAAACCACAUAAAGUGCCAUUUCGUAGUGAACCCUCAGAAAACCACCACGAGAUUGAACCCAUUAAUAAACAAGCCACUGGAAACUAAACACUAACCAAUACCCAAUGGUAGAAACCUCUUCGUAUUUAUCCACUCAUCCAAUGCCUAAUAUUAUAAAACAACUCCUCCGACAAUCUCCUCACAAAAUCCCCGUGUCAAUUCGUAAGGGUUCAUCUUCUUAGCUCCAAGAUCUAAAUAGGCUACACGAACAUCCUUAAUAUCCUACAAGAAUGCCCACUGGAUUUCAUCAAAUAAAGGAAGUCAAAACACUCAUUUCUUUCUGUCAUAUGAUCAAAAAAGGAUGAUCAGUCAAUUGCCUAUCAUUUGAAAUUUUCAACAAAUCAAGUAAAUAUGGUGAAUUACGCUUCUAAUAUAAUUGCAGGACCUUGUCAGCCACCAACUAAUCAAGGACUUCUAUCCCAAAAUUGACAAGCACUAUCCAUAUGGAAUCUGGCAACAAGUGCAAUUGAGCUUGUAAGAUUCAGUAGAGGAGGUGAAGAAUAUUCUGUCAAAGGGCCAUGUUUGAGCAUUCACAUCUUUCCAUGCAUCAUGAAAAGCAUUACAUCCAUGUAUUAAAAAAUGAUUAUCAAAAGGGGUGCUUAAACCAGAAAAACAGAAUGAGAAUCCAAGUUGAGCAGGUAUAUUCUCAUUUCACCAAGUGCUGGUGAUCCAACAAAAACUACACUUUAAAUAACCACCACCAAAUAGGGAAAACUAUUGUUUAUUUAGAACAACCACCAUCAAGACUCGCAAAUGCAAAUGAUAGGAGAGCCAAAAGUACAUAAAAUAUAGAUUUAUGUGGUUCCGGUGAUUCAGCAAUAACAAUUGCUACACACAACCACCAUCAAAUUUGUGAAAAUAUUACAAUAAUUUAUUUUAGCACAAGAACAAUCUAGAUUUGCACAUUCAUCAUAUAUUGCCAAAUCUAGACAAAGUAUAAAUUUAUUUGGUUGUGCAAAUUUUGGAGCUCAAACCGUUGAAAAUUGUAACUUUUGGUGUUGCAAGCUAAAUUUGGAUUUUGCUGCAGAUGGCUAUUUGAUGCAAAACAUCACGUGUAUACAAGAAUGACAUAUAUUUGCAAAGAGAUCUUUUGACGGAUAAAUUGAUGUAAUCAUUGAAAGCAGUUGUAUAAAAACAUUAUCCAUUAUCUUCCACUGUUCUCAUGUUCUAUGUAGCAAACAGUUGUAGUCUUGACAAGUUCUCAGAUAAAAUAAAAGUGGUAUUUAGAUGAUUACCAUGACGUUCGCGGUCCCCAUCAGCAUAUCUAACUUGUAUAGGGCCAGAUCCCUGAAGAAAUCAAAAUUUAAGUUGCCCAGAAAAGCAAAAACACAUGGAGGAUAGAAAAGCAAUACACUCACCCCAGGCAAAGUAUAUUGAUUAUGUAAAGCUCUGAUAGCUCUAUCAGCCUCCUCUGAAGUUGCAUAUUUAAUGAAACAACAUCCUGUAAAUAAAUAAAAAAAAAAAUUGUUCCUUGAUCCCAGUGGAUUAUUGAAAAUUCUUUCCUAUAGAUGGUACAAGCUUCUGGAUUUACAAAUCUAUUCUACAAAGGCAUAGAGAGAAUAAUUAAACAGAAUAUUAGUGCAGACAUCUGGAAGAAAUUACCAAUGAAAAUUUAAACAGUUAGUGCAAGACUUCUGAACGAGGGAAAAAAAGACAAGUAGACAAGUAUGUGCUACCAACAAAUUAAUAUAACAUAUCCUGCAAAUUUAUACAAAUGUGGUGAAAUGAUUUUAAUGAUUACAUGACUCCAGUGCAAGGUAUUAGUUGGGGCAAGGGUUCCAGUAUGCCAUUACUGAAGAGCAUGACAUAAGAGAUGCUAUAAAUAACUUGAGGUCUACAAACAACAAUAUUUCGACUUUUAUACCCAGAUCUACAUAGCUAGGAAGACAACAAUAUUGAGGACAUGAGAUCUCUUUAUUUGCAUCUAGGUACCAUGCAAUGAAUCCACCACCACUAUUUACUAUGCACCGUUCUUGAUCAGUUUCAUAGUAAUUUUUCCUCUCUAUUUACAAAAAAACCCACAAAGUUGCACCUAUCAAUGCUAAAGCAUUCCAAGAAUAACUAUAAAUGAAAAGAGAAUUAUUGAUCCUAUAAAGGAUGAAUCAACCUGGACAAAAUAUUGUUCCCUGAAAUAUUUCUUGAACUCGAAGAGAUUCCUUCCAGCACAAUAAUCGAUUGCUGCCAAAGAAUGCGCUAGCAAAUUUUCACACUCAAAGGUACGUGGUUGAUAAAAGGAUCGAUCAUUCAAUGUUACAUGUGAUUUCCUAGAACAAUGCAAUCCUCCAGAGUCAAGACAUUAUACAUUUUUUCACCAACUUUCAGGAGGCCGUAGUAGGACAAAUCCAAUUCUUUUUAAGGAAACUAGGGUCAUUUUACCUGCAUCUAAGUGACAAAGCUGUAAGCAUAUAGAACUACCUCGGUACCAUUAUCCUUUGAACACAGACACAGAAAGAGACAUAUCUGAGCUAAACCUUUAUGGUGGGAUUCAGAGCUUGCAUCAACCAAACACUACAGCAAUAUAAGCGAGAGCUGAAAUAGCACAACUCUGAUUAUAACCUAGAGAGAAUCAAUCUUACUUAGGAAAAGAAUAACAACACUAAUCACCACAGUGAACCUAGCAAAUCAAUCUCAACUUAUUUUGGUAAUCAGGCUUGUUACUUGUACUGUGGAGCAAGAGAAGGCCAUGACUUCUCUACUGGUCUCUUCCAUUGACCAUAAUAUUUCCAUAUGCACAAACCUAACCACCAAGUGUUUCCACACAAAUAAAAUUAGCAUUAAGCAUCUGUCAACCGUACUCAAGACAUAUAACGAAAUCUUAAACCACUUGCAUUGCAUUGUCUUCCAUCAUCUAAAAGCAGAUAAAAACAACACCCACAACACAAAAUCCAGUGCUAGCCAUAACAAGUCAACCAUCUAUACAUGAGGUACAACAGCAUAAGAAACUAAACUGAUACAAACAACCAAUAAAAUUUUUCUGCAACAGAAUCAAACGCUGGGACAACAUAAGUGAAAUGUAGAAGAUCAUGUUUUGAUAAGCAGUCAUCUGUUGGUCAUAUAAUCAGAUAAGAAUGGCUUCCGAAAAGCCUUGCUGAGUCACAUCCUUACAAAAUGGACAAAAAAUAAAAAAAUAAAAAAAGAUGAACAUAGUAAUCUUGACCAUGCUUCCAGAUCGAGAAGGUUCAACGACAGCGUAUGUUACAGACUCAUCAAGAGAGAUGAUAAACUACCAGAAAAAUAACACACUGCACCACCUUAAAAGAGAAAAUUAAUGAUGCCUAAGAAGCAGGAUUUAUAUCUUUGAGCAUUUACUAAUAGCCAAGUGCUUGAGUAAAUUCAAACCAAAAAAAUGAAACUAUCAAAUACCACAGAAAAAUCUAACCAUGCACAAUUUGUCCAUAUGUAGGAAUAGCUUGAAUCACCUGUUGCUUUGAAGCAUAAUACUACUAAGUUCUAUGCUUUCCAACCAUCUUGUAAAUUGCAUUUUGAAUUUAUCAAAUCAACAACCACUACAGUUCAGUGAGACAGUAAAUACAGUUUUCCCCAGCAUACCAAACCAAAGGAUCCAGAUCCAGGCCAUCCAAACAAUAAGAGAAACCUCAAAACAAGACAAAAUCAGCAAAAAUGUCCAUCCAAGAAAAAAAUCAAGGCAAUGCUGGUGGCCAUAUUGGCAUUUGAUAGAUACACCAUUUUUUCAGUAAGUGCAUAGAUAUAAAACCUUAAAGGCAACUUCUGUCAAUCAAGUUCUAGUUUUUGGAGACUUGCUUCCCCUUCUCUUUUAGAGGAGGGACCUGUUGAUAUACACAUCAAAAUAAGUAGAAAAAAAUAAUUUAGUUUCUUCAACUUUGAGGAUGCUAAUUAUUUCACCAGGAAUAGAAAAGGAAUGUCAAGGCUGAAACCAAAGUUGGGAGGAGAAAGUACCAUCACAUGGAACUUAGUAGCAAGUUAAUAUCGACAGGCUCUUUUAAAUAGCUUAUCAUCACAAUAAUAAAUAUAUAAAAAAAAUGCAUUCUACAUUAGAUCUUUAUAUCACCCAGUGAUUUCAUAACUGAUCUUACUGUGCCCAUUUUACUACUAUACUGAAAAAAUGAACAUAUCAAUAUAUUAAAUACAUUUCAGCAAGAAGAAAGUUGAGUAAAUCUUUCUACACUGGCAUGUGUUAGACAUUCUUGUUAUCAAGUACACCACAGGUAUGGCACCAUAGGUCCACUCUUACGGUGAUAUACCAAUAUAGUCCAAUUUGGUUAGAAGCCAUCAUUUGGAAUGUGUUUCUAAUUUAUCAGGGUAUCAAAUGAGAGAUUGUGGGAUUUGAUUGCAAUUGUUAAAACAAACAUACAUGAAAUAGAUUUCAAAUUCAAAACGAGAAAAAAUAAGAGAAAAAAUAAAAAAGGCAUGGUUACAAACAGCACAUAAAGUAUAACUGAUGACAUUUGAGGUACAAUCUGAAAAGCUAAGAAACGGCACUUUACAACCAGCAUAAUGUUGUCAUGCAUCGAAAGAUGACAGAAAAGUGAACAACAGUAUGUUCAGUAAAUUAAUAUAUCAAGAUAUUACAGUAACUUGAAAUGGCAGGAGACUCAAACAUCAAACUUUGACUUUCCAAAGCAACAGUCCUCUCACUAAGCUUCAGGACUAUUUUUCAGAAAUCCGUGGCAGUGCACCCAUUACACAAAAGAAAUCAUGGUUCCAUCAUAAGAGAUCAACCUCCCCAUUGGAGAUUAUUGCAUCAAAAGAGUUGCCGCAAGAAAUAGUGCUGUUAAAAUUGAUAUGAUACAACUAGAAGUAACACCAAACAUCUCAAAUCUAAUCUUCAUAUCCUAAGAACUAAGACCCUGAAAAUGUUCAUUGCAAGAGAGAGAGAGAGAGAGAGCACAACUCUACAUAUUGAGCAAUACUGGACGGAACUUGCAAGCAAGAAAUGACCAACAGGCCACUGGUAUAGAUCGUCCUGAAAUUUUUUCGUGCAUGGAGCACAUGAUAAUUUUCAAUGUACCUGCUGCAAUACCCCCAGUAGUAGCUCAAAGUUACAGAACAACUUUCACAAAUAUGAUAUCAGCAUUUCCGUGCAGGGUAGAUAAGGUGAACAAUGCUUGAACAGCGCACAUCACAAGUCAACAAUAUAUCAGAAUAUUUGGAGUUGGAGUUUCAUAUCGCAAAAAAGAAAGAAUGUUUACGAAAUAAUCCUGAUAAAAAUAAAACCAAAAUGCUGUGCCAAAGCAGAACAUCAGUCACCUUACGCUCAUGACUGGAAGAUAUAGAAUGGCAUCAUCAAACAGGAUCAUCAACUUGCAAGAUUAUAAAACAAAACAUUUCAGCCUAUUGCACCUACCCAUUCCAGGCAGCAGACAGCUGUAGCACUUAAGAAUCUCUAGAAACUAGUUGUUUCAAUAAUAUCUAACACCAAAUAUGAUUUCAGAUAGGUUGUAACAUCAAAUUUCAAUGAACAGACUCUCAUCAGAAGGUAAAAUCUCUGUACUUGCCAAAUACAGCCAACUAUUUUUCACAACAUCUUGGCUCAAAAACAUAGUGCUCACAUGCAUAAAACAAAAUCCAUCCAGGUCCACCCCAACAGAGUAAAGGCACAUGAAAAAACAUCAUCAGCACAUUUCUAAUCCACAAAGGCAACAUCAUUUUUCUCAACCAUCCAUUCAUAUCCAAACCAGAAAGGAAAACAUCAGGUGAUCAUCAAACCAGCUGCCCAUGUUCAGUCCAAAAACAAUAGAUAAAUGCUCAGAACACCAACCAUCCAUUCCCAGUUCACAAAGACAAAACAAGUCAUUUCAAGUAAAAGCCAUUAAGAGAGCUUUCUAUUAGAUAAAAUUCAUGGCAAUAAUUUGCGUGCUUCAUACUGCCAGUGGGUAAACUUAAAAGAUAAUGUUCACUUGCAAGAUAAUGUUCACUUGCAAUAAGAGAAUGGCUGAAACUUCCACACAGUGAAAUUUUUGCCAUCUGAUUGACAGGGAACCAGAAUACAAGAUAAGAAGCACAAUGAUAGUUAUUAAUUAAUAAAAUGUUUAAACCAACCAGAGUUCAAAGGUCACCCCAAAUCAUCCAACAUCCUGAACUGCUAUGAUGAAAUUCAAAGCCAUUCAAGGCAUGAAACAAGCCCUAAUAUGAAAAAAAAUAUGUAAAAGUUUUCCAGUAUUUAAUGUCGUAGACAGCAUCCUCAACACACAAAAAAAGGUGCAUAAUGCUGUCACUUGCAAUACACCAUUUGCACAGGACUGAACAACACGGCAGAUUAAUGCUACAAAGAAAAGGACCUAUCAACUGCAAAUAACUUGCUUGAUAGUGUUGGCAAAAUGCCCUGCCGCAGUGUGGUACUAGAGCAGAAUUUAUUUACAACCAGACAUUUAACUGCUAUAAACAAACAACUUUUAAAAGUUUCCAUGAUCUUGUCUUUCUUCUGGAUGCACAAAAAGGACAAAAUGGAAACCUUGCCAACUAAAACCACAAGCACUCACAACUGUUGCAUAACCUAACUGAGAGGAGGCAUGACCUUAUUGCUCCAGUUACCCCCCAGAAGACCUGGAAAACAGACACAGAUACAGAUCACAAAGAAAUCAGAAAAUGCAUCCGAACGUACCUUGUUGCUGUCCAGUUUUCCUAUCCUUGAUCAAAGCCACUUCAAUAACCUCUCCAUGUUCCUCAAAUAAGGGUCGAAUCUAAGAAGAAAUAAGUAGCUUAUUGAGAUGAAAACUCUAUGCUAAUAUACAGAAACAUCUACAAUGAUAAAGAUGGAAGGCAGAUUUGACCAGGAAGACACUUUUUUGGGUAAUACCAGGAAGCACAUUAGAUAUGUAGAUGAACAUUCGGCAAAAUAACUGCCUUAUGGUCCCCAUAGACCGUAAAUAACAGAUAACUUUAAAAAAGGAAAAACAACUAAAACAAGAAUAGCUAAAAGGAUCAAUUGUAUAACAAUCUAUCGCAAAUAAUGAUAUGUUCAAUAGGCAUCUCAUGGAUGCAAGAUUCAAAUUAACAAAUAAUACAAUUCCAUGUUUGAAUACUUCUGUCCACUGACAGUGAAUAGAUAAGCAAUCCAAAAUCUGGAGCUUCGAUGCCACCAUUUCCACCAAAAAAAUCAGUUUGAUAACCACUACUAUGCGAUUUUAGUUAUCAAUAAAACAACAGUAGAAAACUAGGUGCCACCUAAGCUAUAACCAACAGGCUGAGCUCAAAAAACUCUUAAGUUAGAUUUAUAACCCAUAAUAAUGAUAUCAAAAUAUGGGAAUCCUGUUAGCUUCUUGCAAUCCAAAUUACAGCCUCCAUUCUAUAUCUCACCUUGUAAAACCCUUUGACAAUGAUCAUCAAGGUUUGCAAUCUACGUACCAAACACCAUACGGUACCCAACCAGUACACACCAUAAAGAGUAUUGGUAAGGUACAUACCUCAGUACUGACACUCAGUACAAGAGGCAUACCAAGCCUCAGCAAAAUUGCAACAUGGUACAGUAUGCCCUGUACUAGGUGGUACAGCUAGCAAACCAUGAUGACUAUCAAGAUUCCAGUUGCUAAUAAAUAAUAUACAUAACAUUUGUCCAACACCAUAUCCAUAGUAUGAAAAAUGACCUAUUAUGUUCAAAGCAAGGAUUUAAAUACCGGUGUGUACCAGAUGAACGUCAACCAAACUAGAUCAUUGUUAGGUUACUGAUAUCGGUAACUCCAAUAUCUGUUGGCAUUGCAUUGGUUAACAAAUUUCUGUGCCAAUUUGUAACAUACUCUUAUCAUAUGACAUGGAUCGUGGCACAAGGGUGUUGGCCCGAUAAAAAGGCAAAAUAUUCAUCCGACCCUAUAUUAGUAAAUAUCAGGUCAUAGGAUUUGGUAUAUACCAGCCACAUCAUAUUAGCAUUUACGCCUACCCUAAAUUAGUAUAUAUCAGGCCAUAGUUGUAGUUGCAAUAUACCAGCCACAGCAUAUUAAAAUAUAUCAGCCAAUUGGCUCACAUUAGCAUAUACUAUAGAUAUCAGGGGAGCUCAUAACAAUAUAAGAAUAGUAAACCAGCAUGAAGCACAAGGGGAUACAAAUAUAUCUCACUCAUUAUUUCAAGAAUGGUUUGGCUUCAAAAUUUUCUCUUACAUCCCCUAUCUUUUUGAACAUCUUAGAUCCGUUUUGCUUGUUUAAUCGAAUGUACUAUUAGUAAAAUGCGUAAAUGUUUAUAUCUUUAUAUCCAAAAACAUCAUGUGUUCAAUAUUGCUUCAUAUGUUAGAUUAGUUUAUAAAGCUCUAGUUCUUAAUUGACUACUCAAAACAAGGAUCUAGGCCCUGCCUUAAUGGGACAAUAUUGUUCCAAUAAGAAAAUGGGACAGGGACAGGUGCAGGCUCUCCUCAUAUGUUAGAUGUCCCAGUUCUCUCGUAAACUAAGACAUCCCGACUGUCCUCAUCCAUCCUAACAAUAUCAGUUGCAUCCCAACACUUGAGACAAACCACAAUAGUCAAGAUGAACCGGGACAUCGGGGUGAAUCGGGACAUUUUUUUAUUUAUCCUUGUAUUCGUGUUGCUACUGAUUGUUUUGGUCCGUACAGGCCAUACCAUACUAUUUCCAUAUCAUACCAUCCCAAGAGCAAACACCAAGGCCCAAUACCAAGGUUUAAACCCUUGGUUCAAAACAUGUCUUAAAGGCACUACGGCCCGUUCAAAAUACCCAAAAGGAAAGAAAUGAAUGGUUAUUCCACUAUAUCUUAGCAUGACAUGAGUCCCAUCUCAAUUCUUACCAAUAAUGAGCACAAUAUCUUACUCUGCCAAGCCAAAAUCAGCAUGAGCUAUAUGAGCAAGCAUAUUCCUUGGUGGUGAGUUUCACAGUCAAAUCCCUCAUCUUUCUUAAAGUAACUUACACCAAUCACCUCUCUACCAUUUGCUCCAUUUUUGUAUUUCAUUAAUAAAGUCCCUUCAUACCCAAAAUUUUAUCAGCCCGCAACACACCUUGCCAGCAUGGCAAGUUUUCUUUACAAUCUCCAACUUAUUUCCUAAACCAGCAAUAUUAAGUCAUUCGAGCAUUUAGGUGUCCUAAAUCAAGACUAAAACAUUAACAAUAUACAGAACCAUUUCUACAAAAAUUAGACUAUAAUUAUUGUAACAAGCACCACCUUAAAAGCCCUCACUUUAGGACGAGUUAUUUCAACCUUUCAUCAGAAGAAUGAGAACUUAGUUGUCAGAAUGUUGUACAAUUGAAAACUCCCCAAGUUAAACUUCCUCAAAUUUGGCAAAUACUCAUCAGCAAGGCAACACUAGAUGACAAGAAAAUUGACUUCAAAACAAGAUUCUAUUUUGCAUUUUAACAUGCAAUGAAACACCUGAAUAGUUCAUCAGCAAAUAAGAAAUAAGUAAAAUCAGUGAACAAUUAAACAUCAGAUCACUGCUUAAAACAAAUGGUAAGCAACAUUAAAUGACAACAUAAUUGACUUUAGUAUAAGAUUUUAUUCACAUUCUAACAUGCAAUGAAGCACUUGAAUAGUCUGUUAGCGAAUAACAAAUGAAAACAAUCAGUGGACAAUUAAAUAUCUGAUCACUGCUUUGAAUUUAACAUAUGCUAGACCAAUAAGGUGAUAUCAAGAUACCUAUAGAUUGUAAAAUGAGGGUAGUAGCUAGAAACAGCAUAUUAGCCAAUUAUCUACUAUAUAUAAAGGAAACUCCUGGAAUUGGGCAGUCCAAGAUGGAUUUUAGGAGUAAGCUUCCAUCUGCAAGACCCAUGUUUUAAAUAUGUGAGGGCACUCAAAAGUAUCUCUGGAAGCAUGCAAUCCCCCACCUCUCUAGCAUACAUUUUGCCCUUUUAAAAAAAAGUAAAUAAAUACAUAACCUGUCUCUCUAAUCCCCUUUAAUAGGCAUGUGCAUAGCAUAUGCAAAAUACAGGUUUUACAUAGAUAAUGCUCAACUCAAAUCAACUAAGCUUAAUCCCAAACUAGUUGGGGUCGGCCAUAAAAAUCAUUUUCUUCCAUUCCACUCUAUUUAGGUCCACUUUUUGCCAGAUAUAACAAUAUCAAGUCCUUCCUUACUACUUCAUCCCAUAUCAUUUUUGGUCUAACUCUACUCCUCUUUCUUUCUACAUAUAUCAAAUCACUCCUUCAUACUAGUGAAUUCUCGAUCUAUGUCGUACAUGUCCAAACCAUCUAAGUCAUCCUUCCUGCAAUGUAUCCUCAAUUGGUGCUACAUCUACUUCUUUUACAAAUGAUUUCAUCUUUUAUUGUAUAUUUUCUCGUAUUGCCACACAUUCAUCUCAAUAUUCUCAUUUCAACUACACUUAUCUAGUGCACAUGGUGUUUUCUAACUGCCCAACACUGUAACAUAAAGCAUAGCUGGUCGUGUAACUAUCUUGUAAAAUUUUUUCUUCAACUUGGCAAGUAUCCUGCAAUUACAUAAUACUCUAUAUGAAUAAUCGAUUCUAAGUAUCAUAAGUGAUCGCUCUUAGAAACUUCAUAAUCCUCAAUUUUCACUCUACCCUUAUCUCUGUUUCUAAUUUUACUAAACUUAUAUUCCAUGUACUCCAUCUUGGUCCUAUUUAACCCGAAAUCCUUGGAUUCUAAUGCACUCCUCCAUAAUUCUAACUUAUGAUAAACUCCAAUCUUAGUUUCAUCCACUGAGAUUAUAUCAUCCGCAAACAGCAUGCAUCAAGGAAUAUCAUCCUAAAUAUGUUUAAUAAACUUAUCCAUAACUAGCAUAAAAAGCUAAGGACCUAGAGCAGAUUAUUGGUGUAAACAUAUUAUGAUAGGAAACUAACUUGUAUUAUCAUUAGUAGUUCAAAUACUAGGAACCGCUCCAUUAUAUAUAUCCUUAAUCACAUUAAUACGACUAACAUAAACUCCUUUUUUUCUAACACCCACCAUAAAACUUCUCUAGAGACUCUAUCAUAUGCUUUUUCUAAAUUGUUAUAUUUGUUAUAUUGCUAUUAAUAUAUCUAUAAUUCUUUGACAUGAACUUGAAAACUGUCUAUAUGGUCUAUAUGUACAUGCAUCACUCUACAAUUGAAGAGCAUUUAUUACAAAAAGCCUGUCCUCAAGCUAUAGGUAUCUAAGACUAGACAAGUUCAACACAAUCAUUCUAUUACUUCUAAGACUUAUCACAAGCCAUCCAAACAUGUUAGGGGAACUCCAAUCGUCACACGCUAACAACCCUAUUGAGCCAUCACCCAUGUCACUUGCUAGAUAUGUAGUUGGGAAAUUGGGAUCUUGCAGCUUAGGCAUUGAAAGCACCCUUAGUGCAUCAAAUCUUGCAAAACCAUCAGAUUUUAGAGAUUAAUUUUGCGAAAUUUCAGAUUGAUACUCUGAUAGCAAAAACAUGAUUGGUAUUGAAAAAUUUGAAUCUUUCUUUAAUUACCAUGAAGUUUUUCACAGUUAUUGUUCUCGGUCUUUCCUCGCAACCACAUCAAGAAGGGUCAUCCAAACAUUUUUUUCUUUGGGGUUUCCAAGUUUUCUCAUGGCCUCCGUUGACCACAACAAAUGCUUUCACCUGGAAGCAUUCUUUUUUUUCUUUGGGGUGGUUUAAAACCAAUCCAAACAAAAGAGAUUCUACUCAAUAUUGACUUUGAAGCUUCUUGAUAAUUAGCAAUCCCUUUUCCAAUCUUGCUCAAGCUUAUAUCAAUUCCUUGAUUUAAGCUCCUACGGCAUUUUUGGUUCAGUCAUCCUUUUUUCGCUCCAAUUGUUCACAAGAUAUAGUUGACCAACUUAAACUAUAAACGUCCAAUUAAGCCCCUUGCAGACAUAAUCAGCUCUUAUUUCUAACCAAUAAGUCAUUUGUUUUAUAACUAUUUGUUGGCUUUGCAAAGUUUUUCCAAUUGCUUUACAAGGGCAUACUACACUGCCAAAUCAUGAUUGCACUAUUAGCACAAAGUAGCUUCUACCACACUUUUGUAUUGUUGCUAACCCAUUUUUCAAGUCUUUUUCCUCUUUUGUUGUACAAGAACCAAUUGUUGUAUGCUCCUUCCUCCCCGUUCCUUUAUGCUCCUAAUACUUGAUAGAAUGAUGGUAUAUACCUCCUUUGCAAACAAGACCUACAAAGCCUGCAAAAUUCAACACCACACCUCUUGAAAGGCUUCUAGACAACAAUCAAACACAUACACUUAAACAUGAUCAAAUUGACUUCGUUUUAUUAUUUCUAUGAUGAAAGAAGUCUAUAUAUCUCCAAAACUUACCAAGCCCUUUCUAUCUUCUUCUUUCUAACAAUUCUCUCUUUGGUUCCUCUACCUCUUACUCCUACUUUUUCUUCGUUUACUAUGAUUGAUACCCUUGCCCCUAUUUCUCCACUUCCCUUAUCUAUGGACCUCCUUUCACUCGUUCUCAACAUAUUGGAGUUCCACUUUAAGUCUUCUUGCAAUCAUCUCUGUUUGUUUCGGUGCAAUAAAUUUGAAGGUUUGAAGCCUAUACAAUCCCCAUGUCUCUUACAGCCUUUGGAUGUAAACUUCAGAAAGUUUUAUAUUAGUUCAUGUAAAGUUCCCAGAUUUGU
Molecule: long non-coding RNA, 41573 nt
Filed under: Phoenix dactylifera (date palm)
Lineage: Eukaryota; Viridiplantae; Streptophyta; Magnoliopsida; Arecales; Arecaceae
Description: long non-coding RNA (PDAC_LNC001572)
Source: RNAcentral